CGCUGACCAGCUAGCCCCCCCCCCCCAAAAACAACAAACCAACAUUACUACCCACAAAACACCUGCUUUAAUAAAGCAAACCAUUUUUCCACCUUAGUAAGGGCGACAGAAAAGGAACAACGGAGCAAUAGAGAAAGUACCGCAAGGGAAAGCUGAAAGAGAAAUGAAAAAACCCUAAAAAGCCCAAAAAAGCAGAGAUCCACCCUCGUACCUUUUGCAUCAUGAUUUAGCUAGAAACCCCCAAGCAAAGAGCACUUUAGUUUGUUUUCCCGAAACUAAGUGAGCUACUCCAAGGCAGCCUCCUAACUGGGCUAACCCGUCUCUGUGGCAAAAGAGUGGGAAGACCUUUGAGUAGCGGUGAAACACCAACCGAACUUAGUUAUAGCUGGUUGCCUGAGAAAUGAAUAGAAGUUCAGCCCCUCGGCUUCUCACUUCGCCUAGAGUUAUUUUCCCUCCAGACACCCCGAGAAACCAAGAGAGUUAGUCAGAGGGGGUACAGCUCCUCUGACAAAAGACACAACUUUUCCAGGUGGGUAAAGAUCAUAAUUUUUAAAGGUAUAUACCCCGGUGGGCUUGAAAGCAGCCAUCCCAAUAGAAAGCGUUAAAGCUCAGGAGAUCCUUAAUCCCUGCUAAUCCCGACAAUAUAUUCUUAGCCCCCUAACCCUAUCAGGCCGCCCCAUGCCCCCAUGGGAGCGACCAUGCUAAAAUGAGUAAUAUGAGAGGACACCCUCUCUCCCUGCACAAGUGUAAAUCGGAACGAACCCCUCACCGAAAAUUAACGGACCCAAACAAAGAGGGUACUGAACAUUGAAUAAGAUAACAAGAAAAACAUCCAAUACGCUUAACCGUUGACCCUACACUGGCGUGCCCCCAGGGAAAGACCAAAAGAAAAAGAAGGAACUCGGCAAACACACACGCCUCGCCUGUUUACCAAAAACAUCGCCUCUUGCAAAAUUAAUGAAUAAGAGGUCCUGCCUGCCCGGUGACAUUAUGUUUAACGGCCGCGGUAUUCUAACCGUGCAAAGGUAGCGCAAUCACUUGUCCUUUAAAUGAGGACCUGUAUGAAUGGCAUGACGAGGGCUAAGCUGUCUCCUUUUUCCAGUCAAUGAACUUGAUCUCCCCGUGCAGAAGCGGGGAUGCACCCAUAAGACGAGAAGACCCUGUGGAGCUUUAGACGCUAAGACAGAUCUGAUUAAAUUUGCUCAAGAACAAAGAGCAAAAACUAAAUUCGAACCCUGCCUGGAUGUCUUUGGUUGGGGCGACCGCGGAGCAACACAAAACCUCCACGAGGAACGGAAAAACCACUUCCUAAAACAAGAGCUACUGCUCGAGUUAACAGAAUUUCUGACCGCUAAGAUCCGGCACUGCCGAUCAACGGACCGAGUUACCCCAGGGAUAACAGCGCAAUCCCCUUCCAGAGACCGUAUCACCAAGGGGGUUUACGACCUCGAUGUUGGAUCAGGACAUCCUAGUGGUGCAGCCGCUACUAAGGGUUCGUUUGUUCAACGAUUAAAGUCCUACGUGAUCUGAGUUCAGACCGGAGUAAUCCAGGUCAGUUUCUAUCUAUGAUAUGCUUCUUCCUAGUACGAAAGGACCGGAGGAAGAGGGCCCAUGCUUAAAGCACGCCCUACCCUUACCUAAUGAAAACAACUAAAAUAGACAAGAGGACAUACUCUCCUCCGCCGUAUACAACGGCCGU
This 1699-nucleotide ribosomal RNA is filed under the name Priacanthus arenatus (Atlantic bigeye). RNAcentral's name for it is "16S ribosomal RNA". It matches the Rfam family "Bacterial large subunit ribosomal RNA". Lineage: Eukaryota; Metazoa; Chordata; Actinopteri; Priacanthiformes; Priacanthidae. The record is from RNAcentral.